RNAcentral lists this transfer RNA (65 nucleotides) under bovine gut metagenome. It matches the Rfam family "tRNA", at positions 5 to 66 of the family's 71-position model. Rfam says of the family: Transfer RNA (tRNA) molecules are approximately 80 nucleotides in length. Their secondary structure includes four short double-helical elements and three loops (D, anti-codon, and T loops). The record is from RNAcentral.
CCGUAGCUCAUCCGGAUAGAGUGCCUGACUUCGAAUCAGUAGGUAGUGGGUUCGAAUCCCUCCGG